AAGGGCACCACAAGAACGCGUGGAGCAGGGGGCUUAAUUUGACUCAACGCGGGAAAUCUUACCGGGUCCGGACACACUGAGGAUUGACAGGCAAUAUCGAAUUCACUCAAACUUCAAGUUGUGAGUUCGUGUUAAAUAUGCUAGUCCUUUCAUGAUUAUGUGAUAGGUGGUGCAUGGCUGUUCUUAGCUCGUGGAGUGAUCUGUCUGCUUAAUUGCGUUUCACUAAGGUUCUACUUUCAUAUGUACGUUGUCAGCGCAUUGACCCCUCGUCAUUUCACGAUGACGCAGCGUGUGUCUUUGAAUUACGUCUGGCUCGUGCGAUUAGAACCUGAAAGCAACGAACGUGACCG
This 350-nucleotide ribosomal RNA is filed under the name Foraminifera environmental sample. RNAcentral describes it as "SSU rRNA". It matches the Rfam family "Eukaryotic small subunit ribosomal RNA", at positions 1160 to 1453 of the family's 1831-position model. Lineage: Eukaryota; Foraminifera. The record is from RNAcentral.